Molecule: unclassified non-coding RNA, 205 nt
Filed under: Hevea brasiliensis (rubber tree)
Lineage: Eukaryota; Viridiplantae; Streptophyta; Magnoliopsida; Malpighiales; Euphorbiaceae
Source: RNAcentral
CCGCUUUCUUCGACCACAAUCGGCCAAAUUGCAGGGAAGCAUCUUCAAAUCGUUUGAACAUCGCGCGCUCCUAGUGACCAGACUUGGGCGCCGGAGCGACCUGUUCGUUUUGCUCGCGCCACGACCGGGGCGCCGUGGGACGCAGCGUCGUAUAGGGAGCGACCGUCGAUCGAUAACCCGCUACAGCCACCGGUACCGAGGGAUC